RNAcentral lists this ribosomal RNA (164 nucleotides) under uncultured bacterium. Its description in RNAcentral is "partial 16S rRNA". It matches the Rfam family "Bacterial small subunit ribosomal RNA", at positions 355 to 511 of the family's 1533-position model. The record is from RNAcentral.
UAGGGAAUCUUCCACAAUGGACGAGAGUCUGAUGGAGCAACGCCGCGUGAGUGAAGAAGGUUUUCGGAUCGUAAAGCUCUGUUGUUGGUGAAGAAGGAUAGAGGCAGUAACUGGUCUUUAUUUGACGGUAAUCAACCAGAAAGUCACGGCUAACUACGUGCCAG